CCCUUAGAUGUUCUGGGCCGCACGCGCGCUACAAUGAUGAAUUCAACGAGUUUAUAACCUUGGUUGAAAAGCCUGGGUAAUCUUUUGAACUUUCGUCGUGAUGGGGCUAGACCCUUGCAAUUAUUGGUCUCCAACGAGGAAUUCCUAGUAAACGCAAGUCAUCAGCUUGCAUUGAUUACGUCCCUGCCCUUUGUACACACCGCCCGUCGCACCUACCGAUUGAGUGGUCCGGUGAGGCUUUGGGAUCUGAGCGGAAAGAGCGUUUCGCUGUUUCUGCUCGGAAAACUCAGUCGAACCUUAUCAUUUAGAGGAAGGAGAAGUCGUAACA
RNAcentral lists this ribosomal RNA (328 nucleotides) under uncultured eukaryote. RNAcentral describes it as "partial 18S ribosomal RNA". It matches the Rfam family "Eukaryotic small subunit ribosomal RNA", at positions 1470 to 1796 of the family's 1831-position model. The record is from RNAcentral.